RNAcentral lists this long non-coding RNA (256 nucleotides) under Solanum tuberosum (potato). Its description in RNAcentral is "long non-coding RNA (STUB_LNC000451)". The record is from RNAcentral. Lineage: Eukaryota; Viridiplantae; Streptophyta; Magnoliopsida; Solanales; Solanaceae.
UAAUAUUUAAUUACCUAUUUCAAUAUAGUAAAACUUGAAUUAUAGUGUGAUAAUUAUACGAAGGAUUCGUAAAUAAAUUAAAUCUCAUCGAGGAAUGCAGUGUUACAAAAAAUCACCAGCUCAUUCGCUGGGCACCACCAACUGCAACCAAAAUUAUCACUUCCUCAUUCUAUACCCACUGAACACCUUAGCCUUUAAUAUCAUAUUCAACAUCACCAAGGUCUUGCAUACAUUAACCCACCAACAUGACACACCC